GGGAGCCGGAUGCGGUGAAAGCCGCCCGUCCGGUUCUGAAGGAGAGGUCGGACCCGGCGACGGGCUGAUCGACUCUAAC
This 79-nucleotide non-coding RNA is filed under the name Roseimicrobium gellanilyticum. Lineage: Bacteria; Pseudomonadati; Verrucomicrobiota; Verrucomicrobiia; Verrucomicrobiales; Verrucomicrobiaceae. The record is from RNAcentral.